Molecule: long non-coding RNA, 448 nt
Filed under: Nicotiana benthamiana
Lineage: Eukaryota; Viridiplantae; Streptophyta; Magnoliopsida; Solanales; Solanaceae
Description: long non-coding RNA (NBEN_LNC013512)
Source: RNAcentral
GCAAAACAAUCCCGUGUAACAGUAGUACGGGAAGGAAUAUGAAAACAAGGUUGUGCCACUUUCAUAAAGUUUCUAAAGCCUUCCUUCUCAACAAAACUGAACGGAAGUUCAUCAACAAUCACCAUAUGACACAAAUCCAUCCUACACUCUUCUUGAUCAAAUUUCCAUGGAAUAAGACCACCUUUAUUACCCCCGGUAAUGUUUGAAAUUGUAAUAGUUUUUGAGCUUUUUCAACUUUAUAAGGAUUCUUUGGACAUUUAUCGAUAUGACCAUUCAUUUGUGUCGUACUUUUGCCUUUUGUCUCAAAAUAUUCUUGUCCACAAAACAAUCACCAUACGACACAAAGCCAUCCUACACUCUUCUUGAUCAAAUUUCCAUGGAAUAAGACCACCUUUAUUACCCCCGGUAAUGUUUGAAAUUGUAAUAGUUUUUGACCUUUUUCAACUUU